RNAcentral lists this long non-coding RNA (1305 nucleotides) under Homo sapiens (human). Its description in RNAcentral is "long non-coding RNA NONHSAT172827.1". The record is from RNAcentral. Lineage: Eukaryota; Metazoa; Chordata; Mammalia; Primates; Hominidae.
GUUCAUCCCCUCUCAGCCCCCUACCCUCCCUUGGACACUCCGGAAACAGCCACAGGGUCCUUCCUGUUCCAGGGGGAGCCAGAGGGCGGUGAGGGGGACCAGCCCCUCUCAGGGUAUCCUUGGUUCCACGGGAUGCUCUCUCGGCUCAAGGCUGCACAGUUGGUGCUGACUGGCGGCACUGGCUCCCACGGUGUCUUCCUGGUGCGCCAGAGUGAGACAAGGCGGGGUGAAUACGUCCUCACCUUCAACUUCCAGGGCAAGGCCAAGCACCUGCGUUUGUCGCUGAACGAGGAGGGUCAGUGCCGGGUCCAGCACCUGUGGUUCCAGUCCAUUUUCGAUAUGCUCGAGCACUUCCGGGUGCACCCCAUCCCUUUGGAGUCGGGAGGCUCCAGUGAUGUUGUCCUUGUCAGCUAUGUCCCAUCCUCCCAGCGACAGCAGGGCCGGGAGCAGGCUGGGAGCCAUGCGGGGGUGUGCGAGGGAGAUGGAUGCCACCCCGAUGCCUCCUGCACCCUCAUGCCCUUCGGAGCGAGUGACUGUGUAACCGACCACCUCCCAUGACCCACCCCAGCCCCCUGAACCCCCUUCAUGGACAGAUCCCCCACAGCCUGGGGCAGAAGAGGCGUCGAGGGCGCCAGAAGUGGCGGCAGCAGCAGCCGCAGCAGCCAAAGAGAGGCAAGAGAAAGAGAAAGCGGGCGGUGGAGGGGUCCCGGAAGAGCUGGUCCCCGUGGUUGAGCUGGUCCCCGUGGUUGAAUUGGAAGAGGCCAUAGCCCCAGGCUCAGAGGCCCAGGGCGCUGGGUCUGGUGGGGACGCGGGGGUGCCCCCAAUGGUGCAGCUGCAGCAGUCACCACUAGGGGGUGAUGGAGAGGAAGGGGGCCACCCCAGGGCCAUUAACAACCAGUACUCCUUCGUGUGAGCCAACCCCACCCGCUCCACCCUUUUUAAACCCCCCAGCCCUGCUCGUGAGAUUGGGCUGGGUAGGGACAGAGGAGGCCGAAAUCCCUCCCCCAUGCUUCCUGACCCUUGUUGGCCAAGGGCAUCUUUGAUGGUACAAGCAGAGGCUCGGGAGAGGCUCCCGUCACACACUACAGGUCCCCUCCCCAGGGCAGGGGAUUUGGGCUCCAUGAGCUCCUUGAGGGGCUCUUCUGGUCAGCCCCACCCUGGGGGCCAUUUCCCCAUUAACUACCCCCAGCCCGAGGCAGGGUGAGGGGGAAGGGCUGUCAGUUACAUUAAGGUGGUUGUUGUUGUUGUUUUAAACAAAAUGGAGAAGCAUAAAUAAAUAAAAAGGUUUAUCUCGGUUCUAUCGUG